GAAACGACUGCUAAGACUGGAUAGGAGACAAGAGGGCAUCUUCUUGUUUUUAAAAGACCUAGCAAUAGGUAUGCUUAGGGAGGAGCUUGCGUCACAUUAGUUAGUUGGUGGGGUAAAGGCCUACCAAGACUAUGAUGUGUAGCCGGGCUGAGAGGUUGAACGGCCACAUUGGGACUGAGACACGGCCCAAACUCCUACGGGAGGCAGCAGUAGGGAAUUUUCGGCAAUGGAGGAAACUCUGACCGAGCAACGCCGCGUGAACGAUGAAGUAUUUCGGUACGUAAAGUUCUUUUAUUAGGGAAGAAUAAAUGAUGGAAAAAUCAUUCUGACGGUACCUAAUGAAUAAGCCCCGGCUAACUAUGUGCCAGCAGCCGCGGUAAUACAUAGGGGGCAAGCGUUAUCCGGAAUUAUUGGGCGUAAAGGGUGCGUAGGCGGUUAAAUAAGUUUAUGGUCUAAGUGCAAUGCUCAACAUUGUGAUGCUAUAAAAACUGUUUAGCUAGAGUAAGAUUGAGGCAAGUGGAAUUCCAUGUGUAGUGGUAAAAUGCGUAAAUAUAUGGAGGAACACCAGUAGCGAAGGCGGCUUGCUGGGUCUUUACUGACGCUGAGGCACGAAAGCGUGGGGAGCAAACAGGAUUAGAUACCCUGGUAGUCCACGCCGUAAACGAUGAGUACUAAACGUUGGGUAAAACCAGUGUUGAAGUUAACACAUUAAGUACUCCGCCUGAGUAGUACGUACGCAAGUAUGAAACUUAAAGGAAUUGACGGGACUCCGCACAAGCGGUGGAUCAUGUUGUUUAAUUCGAAGGUACCCGAAAAACCUCACCAGGUCUUGACAUGCUUCUGCAAAGCUGUAGAAACACAGUGGAGGUUAUCAGUUGCACAGGUGGUGCAUGGUUGUCGUCAGCUCGUGUCGUGAGAUGUUGGGUUAAGUCCCGCAACGAGCGCAACCCUUAUUGUUAGUUACCAGCACGUAAUGGUGGGGACUUUAGCAAGACUGCCAGUGAUAAAUUGGAGGAAGGUGGGGACGACGUCAAAUCAUCAUGCCCCUUAUGACCUGGGCUACAAACGUGAUACAAUGGCUGUUACAAAGGGUAGCUGAAGCGCAAGUUUUUGGCGAAUCUCAAAAAAACAGUCUCAGUUCGGAUUGAAGUCUGCAACUCGACUUCAUGAAGUUGGAAUCGCUAGUAAUCGCGAAUCAGCAUGUCGCGGUGAAUACGUUCUCGGGGUUUGUACACACCGCCCGUCA
This 1246-nucleotide ribosomal RNA is filed under the name 'Catharanthus roseus' phytoplasma. RNAcentral's name for it is "bacterial SSU rRNA". It matches the Rfam family "Bacterial small subunit ribosomal RNA", at positions 153 to 1399 of the family's 1533-position model. The record is from RNAcentral. Lineage: Bacteria; Bacillati; Mycoplasmatota; Mollicutes; Acholeplasmatales; Acholeplasmataceae.